Molecule: ribosomal RNA, 397 nt
Filed under: uncultured bacterium
Lineage: Bacteria
Description: partial 16S ribosomal RNA
Rfam family: Bacterial small subunit ribosomal RNA
Source: RNAcentral
AAUUUUCCGCAAUGGGCGAAAGCCUGACGGAGCAACGCCGCGUGAGGGAAGAAGGUCUUCGGAUCGUAAACCUUUGUCAUCGAGGAAGAUAAUGACGGUACUCGAGGAGGAAGCCCCGGCUAACUUCGUGCCAGCAGCCGCGGUAAUACGAAGGGUGCAAGCGUUAAUCGGAAUUACUGGGCGUAAAGCGCGCGUAGGUGGUUCGUUAAGUUGGAAGUGAAAGCCCCGGGCUUAACCUGGGAAUUGCUUUCAAAACUGACGAGCUAGAGUACGGUAGAGGGUAGUGGAAUUUCCUGUGUAGCGGUGAAAUGCGUAGAUAUAGGAAGGAACAUCAGUGGCGAAGGCGACUACCUGGACUGAUACUGACACUGAGGUGCGAAAGCGUGGGGAGCAAACA